ACAGAGGUGGCGAGCGUUGUUCGGAUUUACUGGGCGUAAAGGGCGCGUAGGAGGCGGAGUGUGUUGGGUGUGAAAUCUCCGGGCCCAACCCUGGAACGGCGUUGUAAACUGUCUCGCUCGAGGGUGGGAGGGGAGAGCGGAAUGCUAGGUGUAGCGGUGAAAUGCGUAGAUAUCCAGCGGAACACCAGUGGCGAAGGCGAGUCUCUGGAAGAGAACUGACACUGAGGCACGAAAGUUAGGGGAUCAAACAG
Molecule: ribosomal RNA, 251 nt
Filed under: uncultured prokaryote
Description: partial 16S rRNA
Rfam family: Bacterial small subunit ribosomal RNA
Source: RNAcentral